Molecule: ribosomal RNA, 523 nt
Filed under: uncultured bacterium
Lineage: Bacteria
Description: bacterial SSU rRNA
Rfam family: Bacterial small subunit ribosomal RNA
Source: RNAcentral
AAUAGAUACCCAGGUAGUCCACGCCGUAAACGAUGGAUACUAGCUGUUUGAGCGCAAGUUUGAGUGGCUAAGCGAAAGUGAUAAGUAUCCCACCUGGGGAGUACGGGCGCAAGCCUGAAACUCAAAGGAAUUGACGGGGGCCCGCACAAGCGGUGGAGCAUGUGGUUUAAUUCGAUGAUACGCGAGGAACCUUACCAGGGCUUAAAUGUAGAUUGACGUAUUUGGAAACAGAUAUUUCUUCGGACAGUUUACAAGGUGCUGCAUGGUUGUCGUCAGCUCGUGCCGUGAGGUGUCAGGUUAAGUCCUAUAACGAGCGCAACCCCUGUUGUUAGUUGCCAGCGAGUAAUGUCGGGAACUCUAGCAAGACUGCCAGUGUAAACUGUGAGGAAGUGGGGAUGACGUCAAAUCAUCACGGCCCUUACGUCCUGGGCCACACACGUGCUACAAUGGCCGGUACAGAGAGCAGCCACUUAGCGAUAAGGAGCGAAUCUAUAAAGCCGGUCACAGUUCGGAUCGGAGUCUG